UGAAUGCCCUUAAUGCUCUUUGG
Molecule: non-coding RNA, 23 nt
Filed under: Mus musculus (house mouse)
Lineage: Eukaryota; Metazoa; Chordata; Mammalia; Rodentia; Muridae
Source: RNAcentral